Molecule: long non-coding RNA, 407 nt
Filed under: Ananas comosus (pineapple)
Lineage: Eukaryota; Viridiplantae; Streptophyta; Magnoliopsida; Poales; Bromeliaceae
Description: long non-coding RNA (ACOM_LNC024773)
Source: RNAcentral
GGUCGGAUGCAAUUAUAAAUAGAGUAUAGUUAGAGACGCCUACAGUUAAAAGUAAAGUGAUUAUAAUUAUAUACUUCUUGGUUAGGGAUGCAAACGGGACGAAUCUGGGGGCCGGAGGGUUCUCCAUCUUCCGCUCUAUUUCUUGUCGGGACGGAACGGAUUUGGGAUGGGUUAUUUUUUAUUUUAUUUUUAGCUCCUAUUUACCGCCCUAUUCAAGGCGAAUCGGGAUGAGAACGAAUUUUUGACGAAUUUUUAACGAAUCGUGGCGGAUUGAAAGAAGAAAAGGGUCUCCCAGCUUCCGCUCUAUUUACUUGGCGGAUCGAGGCGGAUAUGGGACAAGUUAUAUUUUUUUAUAUUUUUUGUUCCCACUUACUGCCUUAUUCGGGGCGGAUUGAGACGGGAGCUCC